RNAcentral lists this ribosomal RNA (515 nucleotides) under uncultured bacterium. RNAcentral's name for it is "partial 16S ribosomal RNA". It matches the Rfam family "Bacterial small subunit ribosomal RNA", at positions 28 to 523 of the family's 1533-position model. The record is from RNAcentral.
GAUGAACGCUGGCGGCGUGCCUAAUACAUGCAAGUCGAGCGAAUGGAUUAAGAGCUUGCUCUUAUGAAGUUAGCGGCGGACGGGUGAGUAACACGUGGGUAACCUGCCCAUAAGACUAGGAUAACUCCGGGAAACCGGGGCUAAUACCGGAUAACAUUUUGAACCGCAUGGUUCGAAAUUGAAAGGCGGCUUCGGCUGUCACUUAUGGAUGGACCCGCGUCGCAUUAGCUAGUUGGUGAGGUAACGGCUCACCAAGGCAACGAUGCGUAGCCGACCGGAGAGGGUGAGCGGCCACACUGGGACUGAGACACGGCACAGACUCCUACGGGAGGCAGCAGUAGGGAAUCUUCGGCAAUGGCCGAAAGUCUGACGGAGCAACGCCGCGUGAGUGGUGAAGGCUGUCGGGUCGUAAAACUCGGUUGUUAGGGAAGAACAAGUGCUAGUUGAAUAAGCUGGCACCUUGACGGUACCUAACCAGAAAGCCACGGCUAACUACGUGCCAGCAGCCGCCGUAA